AUCCCAAUUGGGCAGCAAUUCGGACUGCCUGGCUCUUGAUAGUUAUCUCUAAAGAGGAGGGAAGCGGUCACAAAGGAACAUACUCAACGCAGAAGGAAUGGACACACAGCUGAACGUCACUGUCUGCAAAUCCAGUGCUUUGAGCAGUCUGAGGCAGGAGAGUCACUGGUUCAAGGCUGAAAAAUGUAGUUGUUGAUAGAGUGCUUGCCUAGCACGCAUGAAGUCCUGGGUUCGAGCCUCAGCAGCAUAAACAAACAAACAAACAAACAAAACCCAGGACAUACAGACUCACACUUGGAAUCCCAGCACUGGGAACAGAACACAAGAGGAUUACUGUGUGCUGGAGGCCAGCCUGGACUACCUAGCAAGACCUCACCUAGUCCCCUAAAAUUUCUGUUUUAAAAGAGGAAUUCCUUUUUUUAAAUAAUCUUCUUUAUUAUUCCUUUAUGUGUAUGACUGUUUAUAUCUGUGCACCGUGUAUGUGCCUGAAGUCUGGGGAGGUAAGGAGAAGGCAUUAGAUCCCCUGGAACUGGAGUUACUAACAGAUGCGAUGGGCCAUGUAGGUGCUGGGAAUCAAACCAGGUCCGCUGCGAGAAACGUUCUUGACCAUUAAGCUGUCUCUUUAUCCCCCAGUAAAUGAUUCUGGAAAUUUUAUUUAUUUAUGUAUGUGUGUAGGCCAAAGGACACUUACAAGAGAUGAUUCUCUUCUUCUGCCCUAUGGGUUUUGGGAAUUGAACUCAGCUUGUCUUAGCAGUAAGUAUGUUUAUUGGCUGAACCAUCUUACCUGCAAUAAAACUGGCUUCAGUCCCUGGCACCGCCUAAAAUGCCACACACCUGUAGUUUCAGCACUCAGAAAGAGGCAACAGAAGUGUCAGGGGUUAAACCAACUACAUGAGACCCUGUCUCCAAAAACCACAUCAAGUUAAAAAGUUUAAAGUG
Molecule: long non-coding RNA, 939 nt
Filed under: Mus pahari (shrew mouse)
Lineage: Eukaryota; Metazoa; Chordata; Mammalia; Rodentia; Muridae
Description: lncRNA (MGP_PahariEiJ_G0006108.1)
Source: RNAcentral